CAGCCGCCACGGUAAUACGGAGGGGGCUAGCGUUGUUCGGAAUUACUGGGCGUAAAGCGCACGUAGGCGGCUUUACAAGUCAGAGGUGAAAGCCUGGUGCUCAACACCAGAAUUGCCUUCGAGACUGUAUCGCUUGAGCGUCGGAGAGGUGAGUGGAAUUCCGAGUGUAGAGGUGAAAUUCGUAGAUAUUCGGAAGAACACCAGUGGCGAAGGCGGCUCACUGGACGACUGUUGACGCUGAGGUGCGAAAGCGUGGGGAGCAAACAGGAUUAGAUACCCCAGUAGUCCCUGUCUCUUAUAC
This 301-nucleotide ribosomal RNA is filed under the name uncultured bacterium. RNAcentral describes it as "partial 16S ribosomal RNA". It matches the Rfam family "Bacterial small subunit ribosomal RNA", at positions 509 to 807 of the family's 1533-position model. The record is from RNAcentral.